AAGAACCACGAGGAGCUGGAGACGUCCGGCGCCCUCUAGUGGCUGAUUGAACUACUGCACUGGGAGAACUGGACCUUGACGCUACUGCAGCUCAGCGGCUGGUUUCUCUCUGAAUGGACCAAUCAGAACCAAAGAGGAUUCAGCUCUGAGACAACUAUUUACAUACAGUAGUUACACAUAUGUACAACAUGUUAGUGUUUCUAAACACUUGGAGUUUAGAAAACACAAAAAACUAUCAGGAGUUGUCAGAGGAAAGUUUUAAAACAUUAAAACUUAACCGUUGAAAUGAAACCAUAUAAUUGUUUACUAAAAUAUUUCUUCAUUGCUCCUGUAACAAUAAAACGUAAUAAAUGUCUUGUGUUUUUAUAAGACUUUUAUAUCAGUGUUUUCAGAGUCCAGGUUUCAUUUAUUAGAGAAACUCAACAUCUGCUUUAUUAUAAAUACAUUUUCUUUCUAGUUUUCCUUUUUUUCUUUUAAAAAAAAGGAAACCCACCUAAAUUAAAAAAAAAUAAAACAGUGAUAUCUAACAUAUUAUGUCUUGACUGUCUGGUUGUUGAUUCUCAGUUGUCUAAAGUAGGUUUGAUUCAUUUUUCAUCAGGAUGUUUUAAGAGGCUACGAAGAGCUUUAAAAACCCAACUUACCGCAGAGAUGAGAUAUUAUCCCACUUUCUCAGUCAGGAGAACAUCCGAUUGGCUGGUCAGUGUCCUGCUGGUUCUCUCUUAUCUCUACCUGCUGUAGAAAUGAACCGAUCCAUCUAAUUCAUCUAGGAGGGGUGGAAGUGUGUCAUUAAAGAGAGAAAUAGGAAAAAACUGCAUCAUAUAUGGUAUAUUUAUGAUGUAAUAGUUAACAAUACAGGGUUUAUAAUUACCUGACUGAUAUGAAAAUGCAUAUUUCACCAAAUGCUAAAUAAUAAAUAACAGUCCAAGUGAUGCUUUUAUGGGCUAUUUGUUAUUGUAAAUGAUGACGUCAUUAGCUGACAUAAACAAGAUGAGGCUGCUGAAGGUUUGUUGCACCUUCUGUGUAUUUUUUUUUAUCUUGUUUUUGUUCCCAGUUCUUUUCUCAUUUCAUUUUCAAAUUAGAACAGAAAAAUCCUCACUUCUAUAAGUGAGCCUGGUGCUGGAAAUUGGACACGAUUCGCUUUUAAAUAUGCGAAUCGUACUCAGAAGCAUCAACUCAGCUUCUGAGUACAGAAGCGGUCUGCGGUCAUCAGCGUUUUUAUGAUUUGAUUUCUUUAGAACUUAUGUAAAGAAAACCACAAGUAUUAUAGACAUUUAGUUAUUAUUAUCGGUUACUUUCUGAAAGAUGUGAAACAGAAUAUAGAAACAAUAAGUUGUGUAUUGAAUAAUGUUUAAAAUUUGUGCUGAAAUUUGGCUUUUUCAUCCAUGAUUCUUCUCAUUGUUGUUUGGACGCCGAACGUCAUCUUAGCAUUUGCUUGCUAGAUGGAUCAUUAUCAGCUGCGACCACAAGAGGGCGGUAGAGGAACAAAAAGAAAAUCAUCUUUGUUUAUUACAGUGGGCUCUUUGCACCUGCCGCGCUGACUUCACAACCGCAUGCGCAAAUGCGGCUCUUUUUUUCCGCUUUGAGUUACUAUGACAGCUAGAAAAGACAAAGUGUUGUUUCAGACGAAAAUAAAACCAUACUAUGAACAUUGCUUUCUUCCUACACUGUAAAAAAUAUCCGUAAAUUUUACAGUUAAAUAAAGUAAACCAUGAAAAUUGAACACCGUAAAUUGGAAAUCAGUUUUAGACUGUUUCUUUAACAAGUAAUUGCCGUAAAUAAGAUAAUUAGGAAAAAAUGUAAUUUUUACUGGGUUUUUUUUUUUCAGAAAAUUUACAUUGCCCUGCUGUUAAAAAAAAUCUUGUAAUACUUUUAACAGUAAUAUGCUGUAAUUUUUCUAGUAGUACAUACUGUAGUUUUUGCACUCAUCUUUCUUAAAUAAUACAGUUAGUAGCUGUUAAAAAUGCAUACUGUUGUGACAAUUACAGAAACAUACCGUAAUUUUUCUAGCAAUGUAUACCGUAGUUUUUGCAUUCAAUAAUUAUAAAGUAUACAGUUCAAAACUGUUCAAUAUGCAUACUGCUGUGGCAAUUACAAAAAUAUACUAUAAUUUUUCUAGCAGUGUAUAUCGUAAUUUUUACAUGUAUAAUUAAUCUAAAGUAUACAGGUCAAAACUGUCAAUAUGCAUACUGUUGUGGAAAUGAAAAAAGAAAUUGUAGUAGCGCUGUAACCUUUGCAUUUAAUUCUCCUGACAGCCCAAAUUAUGUAAAAAUAAACAAAUACUUGCAAUCAUCUUAAGUUGUGGGUCCUGAAUCUGGAAUCUAUUAAAGUUUGACUUUUUGAAUGGAAUUAUGGAAAUUAAAUAUCUUUCCACGAAAUGUUCUGUACUGUAAAUUAUCUUGUUGCCAAUAUUGGAUUUUUUUUCAUUAACAAAUAAAUUAAAAUAAUCUGUACUCAGUCACAGAAAAUGUUUUAGAGAUAUUUGUAGUCUAUAUUGUAAUAUAAUUUAUUCGGUUUAACAAAAGUCAUGUAAGUCAAGUUUCCUGCCUGUAGACCUGGCAGGCAGCCUGUAGUCAGUCUUAAUUAAUGGGGCCCCUGCACCUGGUCCGCGCGGACGGGCGAAGUGGAGUUCUGGCGGAAGUUUGGAAGCGGUGGAUUUGAGGACCCGUCGCACUCGGUGGUUCGCGUUUUUGUCCAGCUAUUCCGCUCAGAUUGUGCAGAGACUUCAUCAUCCAACCUUCUCCGUCUGAUCGGCUCUCGUUCUCAGAGUGAAAAUCCAGCUAUCAUCGGACCAGAGCGGACUCCAGAAACGUAUCGAUCUGCCACUAAACAGCUGGAAAGAGAGGAUGUGACAGAAGUACAGGGGAUUAAGUUCAGAUACGACGGAUACACAAAAGGACAUCCGCGAUGCCAUUCGAGCAGCGCUUCCCGGUCUUUCACAGGAAGUUUUGGCUGCUUUAGAGGAUGUUUGGGAGAAACUCGGCACUACAACCGCAGACGAUUUCCAUUGUAUCACCGAAGGAGACUUACGGCCUGUGCCGAAGCCCAUUCGGGCCAGAAGACCGGUGGCUGCACGGGCCCAAAAC
Xiphophorus hellerii (green swordtail) is the source of this 3083-nucleotide RNA transcript. RefSeq lists it as uncharacterized. The record is from RefSeq and is a predicted model, not a curated record. The transcript is spliced from 3 exons. Lineage: Eukaryota; Metazoa; Chordata; Actinopteri; Cyprinodontiformes; Poeciliidae.